RNAcentral lists this ribosomal RNA (868 nucleotides) under uncultured bacterium. RNAcentral describes it as "bacterial SSU rRNA". It matches the Rfam family "Bacterial small subunit ribosomal RNA", at positions 634 to 1501 of the family's 1533-position model. The record is from RNAcentral.
UGCCCGACUAGAGGUAGGUAGGGGAGAUCGGAAUUCCUGGUGUAGCGGUGAAAUGCGCAGAUAUCAGGAGGAACACCGGUGGCGAAGGCGGAUCUCUGGGCCUUACCUGACGCUGAGGCGCGAAAGCUAGGGGAGCAAACAGGAUUAGAUACCCUGGUAGUCCUAGCCGUAAACGUUGGGUGCUAGGUGUGGGCGGAUAUCGACCCCGUCCGUGCCGAAGCUAACGCAUUAAGCACCCCGCCUGGGGAGUACGGCCGCAAGGCUAAAACUCAAAGGAAUUGACGGGGCCCCGCACAAGCGGCGGAGCAUGCGGCUUAAUUCGAUGCAACGCGAAGAACCUUACCUGGGUUUGACAUGCAGGGUGAAACCCGUGAAAGCGGGCGCUCUUCGGAGCCUGCACAGGUGGUGCAUGGCUGUCGUCAGCUCGUGCCGUGAGGUGUUGCCUUAAGUGGCGCAACGAGCGCAACCCCUGUCCUUAGUUGCCAGCGGAUCAUGCCGGGAACUCUAGGGAGACUGCCGGUGCCAAACCGGAGGAAGGUGGGGAUGACGUCAAGUCAGCAUGCCCCUUAUACCCAGGGCUGCACGCAUGCUACAAUGCGCGAUACAGAGGGCUGCGAUCCCGUAAGGGGGAGCGAAUCCCAAAAAGUCGCGCUCAGUUCGGAUCGAGGUCUGCAACCCGACCUCGUGAAGCCGGAGUCGCUAGUAAUCGCAGAUCAGCACUGCUGCGGUGAAUACGUUCCCGGGGCUUGUACACACCGCCCGUCACACCACGAAAGUGGGCAACACCCGAAGCCGGUGGCCUAACCCUUGUGGAGGGAGCCGUCGAAGGUGGGGCUCGCGAUUGGGGUGAAGUCGUAACAAGGUAGCC